AUUGAACGCUGGCGGCAGGCUUAACACAUGCAAGUCGAGCGGGGUGAUGGUGCUUGCACUAUCACUUAGCGGCGGACGGGUGAGUAAUGCUUAGGAAUCUGCCUAUUAGUGGGGGACAACAUCUCGAAAGGGAUGCUAAUACCGCAUACGUCCUACGGGAGAAAGCAGGGGAUCACUUGUGACCUUGCGCUAAUAGAUGAGCCUAAGUCGGAUUAGCUAGUUGGUGGGGUAAAGGCCUACCAAGGCGACGAUCUGUAGCGGGUCUGAGAGGAUGAUCCGCCACACUGGGACUGAGACACGGCCCAGACUCCUACGGGAGGCAGCAGUGGGGAAUAUUGGACAAUGGGGGGAACCCUGAUCCAGCCAUGCCGCGUGUGUGAAGAAGGCCUUAUGGUUGUAAAGCACUUUAAGCGAGGAGGAGGCUCUUUUGGUUAAUACCCAAGAUGAGUGGACGUUACUCGCAGAAUAAGCACCGGCUAACUCCGUGCCAGCCGCCGCUGAAA
Molecule: ribosomal RNA, 503 nt
Filed under: uncultured bacterium
Lineage: Bacteria
Description: partial 16S ribosomal RNA
Rfam family: Bacterial small subunit ribosomal RNA
Source: RNAcentral